This 151-nucleotide unclassified non-coding RNA is filed under the name uncultured Mortierellales. RNAcentral describes it as "sequence contains ITS1". The record is from RNAcentral. Lineage: Eukaryota; Fungi; Mortierellomycota; Mortierellomycetes; Mortierellales.
CAAUAAGUGUUCAAUGGCACUUUCAAAUCCAUUACCCACCUUGUGUGCACUGUCAGGGGGGGGGAGGCCAGACUUGUCUGCCUCUCUUUCCCAUCAUUAUACAUACAAUCUUCAUUCUUGUCUACUUCAUUGAGUAUAAAAAACUCUAAUA